RNAcentral lists this transfer RNA (94 nucleotides) under Candidatus Marimicrobium litorale. RNAcentral's name for it is "tRNA-Sec". It matches the Rfam family "Selenocysteine transfer RNA". Lineage: Bacteria; Pseudomonadati; Pseudomonadota; Gammaproteobacteria; Cellvibrionales; Halieaceae. The record is from RNAcentral.
GGAAGAGCGACGCCCCCGGUGGGGUGCCUGGUCUUCAAAACCAGUGAGGUGUCGACAAGACGCCUGGUGGGUUCGACUCCUACCUCUUCCGCCA